UAGUGAGUUUGAUCCUGGCUCAGAAUCAACGCUGGCGGCGUGCCUAACACAUGCAAGUCGAACGUGAAAGGGACUUCGGUCCUGAGUAAAGUGGCAAACGGGUGAGUAACGCGUGGGUGAUCUGCCUCUGAGUGGGGGAUAACGUUCCGAAAGGGACGCUAAUACCGCAUGACAUCCUGUUCUUGGAUGAACGGUGAUCGAAGCUGGGGACCGCAAGGCCUGGCGCUUGGAGAGGAGCCCGCGUCCGAUUAGCUAGUUGGUGGGGUAACGGCCUACCAAGGCGACGAUCGGUAGCCGGCCUGAGAGGGCGGACGGCC
This 317-nucleotide ribosomal RNA is filed under the name uncultured Acidobacteriota bacterium. RNAcentral describes it as "bacterial SSU rRNA". It matches the Rfam family "Bacterial small subunit ribosomal RNA", at positions 1 to 309 of the family's 1533-position model. The record is from RNAcentral. Lineage: Bacteria; Pseudomonadati; Acidobacteriota.